This 253-nucleotide ribosomal RNA is filed under the name uncultured bacterium. Its description in RNAcentral is "partial 16S ribosomal RNA". It matches the Rfam family "Bacterial small subunit ribosomal RNA", at positions 524 to 776 of the family's 1533-position model. The record is from RNAcentral.
UACGUAGGGGGCAAGCGUUGUCCGGAUUUAUUGGGCGUAAAGAGCGUGUAGGCGGCCAAGCAGGUCCGCUGUGAAAACUCGAGGCUCAACCUCGAGACGUCGGUGGAAACCGUUUGGCUAGAGUCCGGAAGAGGAGAGUGGAAUUCCCGGUGUAGCGGUGAAAUGCGCAGAUAUCGGAAGGAACAUCAGUGGCGAAAGCGGCUUCCUGGUCCAGCACCGACGUUCAGGCACGAAAGCGUGGGGAGCAAACAGG